UGAGUCGGCUGGACGGCCGCGGCGGGUCCCACCGGACCCGGCGAGGAAAGUCCGGGCUCCACAGAGCAGGGUGGUGGGUAACACCCACCCGGGGUGACCUGCGGGAAAGUGCCACAGAAAACAAACCGCCGCACUUAAGUGCGGUAAGGGUGAAACGGUGGUGUAAGAGACCACCAGCGCCCGGGGUGACCCGGGUGGCUAGGCAAACCCCACCCGGAGCAAGGCCAGACAGGCGGCGGGUAGCUCGCCCUUACCGCCGGGUAGGCCGCUGGAGGCCCCUGGCAACAAGGGUCCUAGAUGGAUGGCCGUCUUGAAUGACAGAACCCGGCUUACAGGCCGGCUCAUCCG
RNAcentral lists this RNase P RNA (348 nucleotides) under Bifidobacteriaceae bacterium. RNAcentral describes it as "RNase P RNA component class A". It matches the Rfam family "Bacterial RNase P class A". Rfam says of the family: Ribonuclease P (RNase P) is a ubiquitous endoribonuclease, found in archaea, bacteria and eukarya as well as chloroplasts and mitochondria. Its best characterised activity is the generation of mature 5'-ends of tRNAs by cleaving the 5'-leader elements of precursor-tRNAs. Cellular RNase Ps are ribonucleoproteins. Lineage: Bacteria; Bacillati; Actinomycetota; Actinomycetes; Bifidobacteriales; Bifidobacteriaceae. The record is from RNAcentral.